Long non-coding RNA from Tripterygium wilfordii, 1299 nucleotides. RefSeq lists it as uncharacterized. The transcript has 6 exons. The record is from RefSeq and is a predicted model, not a curated record. NCBI's taxonomy places the organism in Eukaryota, Viridiplantae, Streptophyta, Magnoliopsida, Celastrales, Celastraceae.
CGGCACAAGUAGAAAUGGAGAAGUGGAUGGAGGCACAAAGUAGUACAUUGGCUGAUGAAGACAAAAAGGAAACUUGAGCAAGUGCUACCAGAUUAUCGGUGUCAAAUGACUGGUGGCUGAAAUUCUGGAAAUUGUGGAGAUUGAUGUUUGUUAAGUGUCAAAUUAUGAGUGGUGACUGACCAUGUGAGAGUGCGUAAUAAGGUUAUUGGCUGGAUAGGAUAAUGACAUGUCCGUCUCAUGAUCAUGGGAAGACUGAAGAUUCUGCAUCUGUUUGACGAGCUUCAUGCUCAAUUAAGGACCAGAGAAAGAUAUUGGUCCCACAAGGAAUUCAUACUCUGCUGGAACGAUCAUUGUUGAUGCUUCUACUUUACAUGCAGCCGCCCAUGUAGCUUGAAACGCCUGCGUUGCACCAUAACAACCAUAAUUCCUAGGAUGCAAAUAUAAGCCAAAGUUAUGACUUGCUAUUGAGGGUAGGAAAACCAAAUGCACCUAUCAUGGUAUAGAAUUUUCUUUAUUCUUCUAAAUUAUUUGCAAUGGAUUAAUUCCAAUUAUCUACUUUGAAUAUAAGCCAUAGUUAUGACUUGCUCUUGAGGGAAAACGAAAUGAAACCUACCAUGGUAUAGAAUUUUCUUUAUUCUUCUACAUUAUUUGCAAUGCAUUAAUUCAAACAAUCUACUUUGAAUACUUAUUCUCUUUAAACCCAAAAGUGGUAUUAGAAGCCUCUAAUUUAACACUGCGUUAUGGUUUUUCUGGGUGGCUGUGUUUUUGUAUAUGUUUUUACUGGAGUAAUUUCAAGAAAAUUCUAUGCAUAUGAGGGUGUAUAUAUAUAUAGGUGUAUAUAUAUACAUAUCCUUGUUCACAUAUAUGUGGUCAUGGUUAUGAAUUCUGUUGUUGUGUGUUGAUUUUGAUUGGUAUGUGAGUAUAGACUUUAUUGUAAAAUCUAAAGGACACACGUGAGUGGGUCAAUGGCACUGAUUGUUACAGCUCCUUUUAUGGUCACAUGCUACACUCACGGGCUUGAGUUUUUGUGGCUUUUGUCUGCCUGACUCUAAUGCUCUAGGCCGUAGAGGCUCAUUUGUUAGGUUUCUGCUUCUUUAACCUUCCAAAGCCAGAUGUUCCCAAACAGAGAGAAAUAGGGUUAUAAGUAACUGAAACUAACUGUCUUCCUCUCCAACUGAUGGUCUCAAACUCUAUAUCGGAAUUGCUUGUUUGGAUUUUAAGGUUGAUGGUACCAGAAAAGUUUGACUUUUGGACCUCUAACAUGGACUUAAACUCUCCCAUUGCACAUAAAAGUUUCUC